This 397-nucleotide ribosomal RNA is filed under the name uncultured bacterium. RNAcentral describes it as "partial 16S ribosomal RNA". It matches the Rfam family "Bacterial small subunit ribosomal RNA", at positions 523 to 918 of the family's 1533-position model. The record is from RNAcentral.
AUACGUAGGGGGCGAGCGUUGUCCGGAAUGAUUGGGCGUAAAGGGCGCGUAGGCGGCGCGGUAAGUCUGGAGUGAAAGUCCUGCUUUCAAGGUGGGAAUUGCUUUGGAUACUGCCGCGCUUGAGUGCAGGAGAGGUUAUCGGAAUUCCCGGUGUAGCGGUGAAAUGCGUAGAGAUCGGGAGGAACACCAGUGGCGAAGGCGGGUAACUGGACUGCAACUGACGCUGAGGCGCGAAAGUGUGGGGAGCAAACAGGAUUAGAUACCCUGGUAGUCCACACUGUAAACGAUGAAUGCUAGGUGUAAGAGGUAUCGACCCCUUUUGCGCCGGAGUCAACACAAUAAGCAUUCCGCCUGGGGAGUACGGCCGCAAGGUUGAAACUCAAAUGAAUUGGCGGGG